This 496-nucleotide ribosomal RNA is filed under the name uncultured bacterium. RNAcentral's name for it is "partial 16S ribosomal RNA". It matches the Rfam family "Bacterial small subunit ribosomal RNA", at positions 28 to 507 of the family's 1533-position model. The record is from RNAcentral.
GACGAACGCUGGCGGCGUGCCUAAUACAUGCAAGUUGAGCGCUCAGGCGUGGUGCUUGUUCCUAUUAGGUUAGCAGCGGACGGGUGAGUAACACGUGGAUAAUCUACCUUUAAGCCUGGGAUAACUUUGGGAAACGGGUGCUAAUACCGCAUAAUAUCUUUAAACACAUGGUUUAAUAUUGAAAGAUGGUAUUGCUUCACUUUAAAGUUAGCCCCCGUUGCAUUAGCUAGUUGGUAAGGGAAAGGCUCACCAAGGCAAUGAUACAUAGCCGACCUUACAGGGUGUCCGGCCACACUGGAACUGAGACACGGCCCAGACUCCUACGGGAGGCAGCAGUAGGGAAUCUUCCGCAAUGGGCGAAAGCCUGACGGAGCAACGCCGCGGGAGGGAUGAAGGUCUUCGGAUCUUAAAACUCUUUUAUAAGGGAAGAACAAAGGGGGAAUGAACUGUGCACGUCUUGACGGUACCUAAUCAGAAAGCCACGGCUAACUACGUG